UACGUAGGGUGCAGGCGUUAAUCGGAAUUACUGGGCGUAAAGCGUGCGCAGGCGGUUUGCUAAGACAGGUGUGAAAUCCCCCGGGCUUAACCUGGGAACUGCGCUUGUAACUGGCAAGCUUGAGUGUGGCAGAGGGGGGUGGAAUUCCACGUGUAGCAGUGAAAUGCGUAGAGAUGUGGAGGAACACCGAUGGCGAAGGCAGCCCCCUGGGCUAACACUGACGCCUCAUGCACGAAAGCGUGGGGAGCAAACAGG
This 255-nucleotide ribosomal RNA is filed under the name uncultured bacterium. RNAcentral describes it as "partial 16S ribosomal RNA". It matches the Rfam family "Bacterial small subunit ribosomal RNA", at positions 524 to 776 of the family's 1533-position model. The record is from RNAcentral.